This 208-nucleotide ribosomal RNA is filed under the name uncultured Smithella sp. RNAcentral's name for it is "partial 16S ribosomal RNA". It matches the Rfam family "Bacterial small subunit ribosomal RNA", at positions 568 to 774 of the family's 1533-position model. The record is from RNAcentral. Lineage: Bacteria; Pseudomonadati; Thermodesulfobacteriota; Syntrophia; Syntrophales; Smithellaceae.
CGUGUAGGUGGCUGGAUAAGUCAGAUGUGAAAGCCCUGGGGCUUAACCCAGGAAGUGCAUUUGAAACUGUUCAGCUUGAGUAAGGGAGAGGAAAGUGGAAUUCCUGGUGUAGAGGUGAAAUUCGUAGAUAUCAGGAGGAACACCGGUGGCGAAGGCGACUUUCUGGCCCUAUACUGACGCUGAGACGCGAGAGCGUGGGUAGCAAACA